CUUCUUAAUAACGAUAAUUUCAUCCUCUAAAAAAAAAGGUAAAAAGCAACUUGGUGAUCUUUGUUCCAACAAAUGUCUCUUUUUAUGGAGAAAGUACAUUUUCUUAAUCGGUACAAACAUUGAGAAAAUAUGAUCGAUGCUUAAAUUUCAAGUAGAACUCUAUAAACUUUUACAUUGAAGAUUCAAUACUUAAUAUGAAUUUGGCGAUCAAUUUGGAUUUGACAGCUUUAUUUCAGCUUCGAAAUGAAAACAAUAACAAACAAGUAAAGCAAACUUCCUCCCAUCCCAUGAUGAUGAUUUGUUCAUGAAUGCUUGUUCUUAGUAAUAGUACGUCCUCGUAUACGAUGAUCCUGACCCUACAUAGUCACCAGCAUUAUCAAGUGCUUCAAGCAUUAUUUUGUGUGCAAUAUGCUGUUCUCUCAGUUUCCUUUGGGCCUCAAAAAUCGACAUUUCCGAUUCUUGUGUUUGAUUCUCUAAAUCUACUUGGUUAACGUUGGAUCUUUCCUUUGCUGCUGCAUCGUUAUCUGCUGGUUUUCUUGAUUCUUCUUCCUUGGAGCACCCCUUAGAAGUUGCGCAGUCUAAAUGCCCCGCAAAAUCACAAUCCGCACAAUAGUACAGCCAGAAAUUAUUCUGCAUGAUGCCCCGACACAAAUCACAGGCAAAUACAGUGCUUUUAUCCUCAUAAGGCGAACCAAAAACCAGUUUUAAUUCAUGACGGUGGUUUUCAAGAAGUAUAGUACUAGGCAAAGUGGCACAUUUUACGUGAAGAUCAAAUUCGCAAUGGGAACAGCUGAAACCAAAGGCUCUGCCUUCAGAUCCACAUGCAUCGCAAGUGUACGAUCGGCAGCAGUAAGUUGGGAAUGGGAGAAGGGACAAUGGAUGAGAAGGAUGAGAGGGGUGUUGAAGAGAACGAGGUGCAUUCAUGCAAUGGUUAUGGAGGUAGAAGUUGCAGGAUAGGCAGCCAUGAAAAGGUUCGACUAUAAUCUGAUCGCAGCCUUUGCAUUUAAUCUCCUCUCCUUCAUCAAGUUGGAGGGAAAUCAAAAUAUGAUGGUGGCUAAAAUGCUGCUUAUCUUGAAACCUCAUCUGUCUUUUCUUAGUUCUUACGAUGGAUGUGGGAGUGGUG
This 1123-nucleotide long non-coding RNA is filed under the name Olea europaea subsp. europaea. Lineage: Eukaryota; Viridiplantae; Streptophyta; Magnoliopsida; Lamiales; Oleaceae. The record is from RNAcentral.